RNAcentral lists this ribosomal RNA (521 nucleotides) under uncultured bacterium. RNAcentral describes it as "bacterial SSU rRNA". It matches the Rfam family "Archaeal small subunit ribosomal RNA", at positions 345 to 866 of the family's 1478-position model. The record is from RNAcentral.
AACCUCCGCAAUGCGAGAAAUCGCGACGGGGGGACCCCAAGUGCUACUCUUAACGGGGUGGCUUUUCUUAAGUGUAAAAAGCUUUUGGAAUGAGGGCUGGGCAAGACCGGUGCCAGCCGCCGCGGUAACACCGGCAGCUCUAGUGGUAGCAGUUUUUAUUGGGCCUAAAGCGUCCGUAGCCGGUUUGAUAAGUCUCUGGUGAAAUCCUGUAGCUUAACUGUGGGAAUUGCUGGAGAUACUAUUAGACUUGAGACCGGGAGAGGUUAGAGGUACUCCCAGGGUAGAGGUGAAAUUCUGUAAUCCUGGGAGGACCGCCUGUUGCGAAGGCGUCUAACUGGAACGGUUCUGACGGUGAGGGACGAAAGUUAGGGGCGCGAACCGGAUUAGAUACCCGGGUAGUCCUAACUGUAAACGAUGCGGACUUGGUGUUGGGGUGGCUUUGAGCUGCUCCAGUGCCGAAGGGAAGCUGUUAAGUCCGCCGCCUGGGAAGUACGGUCGCAAGACUGAAACUUAAAGGAAUU